AUUGAACGCUGGCGGCAGGCCUAACACAUGCAAGUCGAGCGGAAGCAGGGCGCUUGCCCCUGGAUUCAGCGGCGGACGGGUGAGUAAUGCCUAAGAAUCUGCAUGGUAGUGGGGGAUAACGUCCGGAAACGGGCGCUAAUACCGCAUACGCCCUGAGGGAGAACGGGGGGGAUCUUCGGCCCUCACGAUAUCAGCUGAGCCUAGGUCGGAUUAGCUAGUUGGUGGGGUAAAGGCCUACCAAGGCGACGAUCCGUAACUGGUCUGAGAGGAUGACCAGCCACACUGGAACUGAGACACGGUCCAGACUCCUACGGGAGGCAGCAGUGGGGAAUUUUGGACAAUGGGCGAAAGCCUGAUCCAGCCAUGCCGCGUGUAUGAAGAAGGUCUUCGGAUUGUAAAGUGCUUUUAUUUGGGAAGAAGUGUAGUAAGUUAAUACCUUGCUGGGUUGACGGUACCUACAGAAUAAGCACCGGCUAACUUCGUG
This 484-nucleotide ribosomal RNA is filed under the name uncultured bacterium. Its description in RNAcentral is "partial 16S ribosomal RNA". It matches the Rfam family "Bacterial small subunit ribosomal RNA", at positions 30 to 507 of the family's 1533-position model. The record is from RNAcentral.